UACGUAGGGGGCAAGCGUUAUCCGGAUUUACUGGGUGUAAAGGGAGCGUAGACGGCGAUGCAAGCCAGUUGUGAAAGCCCGGGGCUCAACCCCGGGACUGCAUUUGGAACUGUGUGGCUGGAGUGUCGGAGAGGCAAGUGGAAUUCCUAGUGUAGCGGUGAAAUGCGUAGAUAUUAGGAGGAACACCAGUGGCGAAGGCGGCCUGCUGGACGACAACUGACGGUGAGGCGCGAAAGCGUGGGGAGCAAACAGG
RNAcentral lists this ribosomal RNA (253 nucleotides) under uncultured bacterium. RNAcentral describes it as "partial 16S ribosomal RNA". It matches the Rfam family "Bacterial small subunit ribosomal RNA", at positions 524 to 776 of the family's 1533-position model. The record is from RNAcentral.